CCUACGGGUGGCAGCAGUGAGGAAUAUUGGUCAAUGGGCGCGAGCCUGAACCAGCCAAGUAGCGUGAGGGAAGACGGUCCUAUGGAUUGUAAACCUCUUUUGUCGGGGAGCAAAAGACGCCACGCGUGGCGUUCCGCGAGUACCCUGCGAAAAAGCAUCGGCUAACUCCGUGCCAGCAGCCGCGGUAAUACGGGGGAUGCGAGCGUUAUCCGGAUUUAUUGGGUUUAAAGGGGGCGCAGGCGGAAGAUCAAGUCAGCGGUAAAAUUGAGAGGCUCAACCUCUUCGAGCCGUUGAAACUGGUUGUCUUGAGUGAGCGAGAGGCAGGCGGAAUGCGUGGUGUAGCGGUGAAAUGCAUAGAUAUCACGCAGAACCCCGAUUGCGAAGGCAGCAUACCGGCGCUCAACUGACGCUCAUGCACGAAAGUGUGGGUAUCGAACAGGAUUAGAUACCCCUGUAGUC
This 459-nucleotide ribosomal RNA is filed under the name uncultured bacterium. RNAcentral describes it as "partial 16S ribosomal RNA". It matches the Rfam family "Bacterial small subunit ribosomal RNA", at positions 338 to 795 of the family's 1533-position model. The record is from RNAcentral.